RNAcentral lists this ribosomal RNA (450 nucleotides) under uncultured bacterium. RNAcentral's name for it is "partial 16S ribosomal RNA". It matches the Rfam family "Bacterial small subunit ribosomal RNA", at positions 338 to 795 of the family's 1533-position model. The record is from RNAcentral.
CCUACGGGGGGCUGCAGUAAGGAAUAUUGGUCAAUGGACGAAAGUCUGAACCAGCCAUGCCGCGUGGAGGAUGAAGGUCCUCUGGAUUGUAAACUUCUUUUAUAUGGGACGAAAAAAGGCCUUUCCAGGUCGUCUGACGGUACCAUAUGAAUAAGCACCGGCUAACUCCGUGCCAGCAGCCGCGGUAAUACGGAGGGUGCAAGCGUCACUCGGAUUCACUGAGGUUAAAGGGUGCUGGGAAGUGAGUGUUGAAAUCCCCGAGCUUAACUUGGGAACUGCCAUUGAUACUAUCAGUCUUGAAUACCGUGGAGGUCAGCGGAAUAUGUCAUGUAGCGGUGAAAUGCUUAGAUAUGACAUAGAACACCAAUUGCGAAGGCAGCUGGCUACACGAGUAUUGACACUGAGGCACGAAAGCGUGGGGAUCAAACAGGAUUAGAUACCCUAGUAGUC